Molecule: ribosomal RNA, 97 nt
Filed under: Bacillus anthracis (anthrax bacterium)
Lineage: Bacteria; Bacillati; Bacillota; Bacilli; Caryophanales; Bacillaceae
Also listed under: 1 other name
Source: RNAcentral
UCUGGUAAUGAUGGCAGAGAGGUCACACCCGUUCCCAUACCGAACACGGAAGUUAAGCUCUCUAGCGCCGAUGGUAGUUGGGACCUUGUCCCUGUGA